Molecule: long non-coding RNA, 220 nt
Filed under: Sorghum bicolor (sorghum)
Lineage: Eukaryota; Viridiplantae; Streptophyta; Magnoliopsida; Poales; Poaceae
Description: long non-coding RNA (SBIC_LNC016040)
Source: RNAcentral
CCCCAAUACAACAGUAGAUCAUCCUUACCAAGGUUAGAAUGAGACUACGGUUGCAGUCUUCUCUAUACAUCGCUCACAUCGAGAAACAUUCUUUGUAGCCUAAAGGGAUAGUAGCAAUAGAUUUGGUUAGUCAGAUGCACCCUUUCUCCCAGUGGUAAAAAUAUAAAUACGAUACUCUGGAAAACUUCCCGGGUGAAAUGCUCACCGAUAUCCGUGCGCU